This 254-nucleotide ribosomal RNA is filed under the name uncultured bacterium. RNAcentral describes it as "partial 16S ribosomal RNA". It matches the Rfam family "Bacterial small subunit ribosomal RNA", at positions 524 to 776 of the family's 1533-position model. The record is from RNAcentral.
CACGUAGGGGCCAAGCGUUGUCCGGAUUUAUUGGGCGUAAAGAGCUCGUAGGCGGUUCGACAAGUCGGGUGUGAAAACUCCGGGCUCAACCCGGAGACGCCACCCGAUACUGUCGUGACUGGAGUCCGGUAGGGGAGUGGGGAAUUCCUGGUGUAGCGGUGAAAUGCGCAGAUAUCGUGAGGAAGACCAGUGGCGAAGGCGGAUCUCUGGACAGUUCCUGACGCUGAGGCGCGAAGGCCAGGGGAGCAAACGGG